Molecule: ribosomal RNA, 163 nt
Filed under: Potamogeton foliosus x Potamogeton pusillus
Lineage: Eukaryota; Viridiplantae; Streptophyta; Magnoliopsida; Alismatales; Potamogetonaceae
Description: 5.8S ribosomal RNA
Rfam family: 5.8S ribosomal RNA
About the family: 5.8S ribosomal RNA (5.8S rRNA) is a component of the large subunit of the eukaryotic ribosome. It is transcribed by RNA polymerase I as part of the 45S precursor that also contains 18S and 28S rRNA. Functionally, it is thought that 5.8S rRNA may be involved in ribosome translocation.
Source: RNAcentral
AGAUGACUCUCGGCAACGGAUAUCUUGGUCCACGCAUCGAUGAAGAACGUAGCGAAAUGCGAUACUUGGUGUGAAUUGCAGAAUCCCGUGAACCAUCGAGUUUUUGAACGCAAGUUGCGCCCUAAGCUUCCGGGCCGAGGGCAAGCCUGCGUGGGCGUCAAGU